This 468-nucleotide ribosomal RNA is filed under the name uncultured bacterium. Its description in RNAcentral is "partial 16S ribosomal RNA". It matches the Rfam family "Bacterial small subunit ribosomal RNA", at positions 28 to 507 of the family's 1533-position model. The record is from RNAcentral.
GACGAACGCUGGCGGCGUGCUUAACACAUGCGAGUCGAACGGAAAGGCCCUGCUUUUGUGGGGUGCUCGAGUGGCGAACGGGUGAGUAACACGUGAGUAACCUGCCCUUGACUUUGGGAUAACUUCAGGAAACUGGGGCUAAUACCGGAUAGGAGCUCCUGCUGCAUGGUGGGGGUUGGAAAGUUUCGGCGGUUGGGGAUGGACUCGCGGCUUAUCAGCUUGUUGGUGGGGUAGUGGCUUACCAAGGCUUUGACGGGUAGCCGGCCUGGGAGGGUGACCGGCCACAUUGGGACUGAGAUACGGCCCAGACUCCUACGGGAGGCAGCAGUGGGGAAUAUUGCACAAUGGGCCGAAGCCUGAUGCAGCAACGCCGCGUGCGGGAUGACGGCCUUCGGGUUGUAAACCGCUUUCGCCUGUGACGAAGCGUGAGUGACGGUAAUGGGUAAAGAAGCACCGGCUAACUACGUG